This 89-nucleotide small nucleolar RNA is filed under the name Rosellinia necatrix. Its description in RNAcentral is "A. fumigatus snoRNA Afu_335". It matches the Rfam family "A. fumigatus snoRNA Afu_335". The record is from Rfam by way of RNAcentral. Lineage: Eukaryota; Fungi; Ascomycota; Sordariomycetes; Xylariales; Xylariaceae.
UUCAAUGAUGAAGCCCAGAUAGGGACAGCUGAAACAUUUUUGAUGCGAACCCUGGGCCAGUAUUUUAGUAGAUGCUCUGGUUUCUGAGA